AGUUUGAUCCUGGCUCAGAUCGAACGCUGGCGGAAUGCUUUACACAUGCAAGUCGAACGGCAGCACGGGAGCUUGCUCCUGGUGGCGAGUGGCGAACGGGUGAGUAAUAUAUCGGAACGUAUCCAAUAAUGGGGGAUAACUAAGCGAAAGCUUGGCUAAUACCGCAUACGCCCUGAGGGGGAAAGCUAGGGAUCUUCGGACCUGGCGUUGAUGGAGCGGCCGAUAUCUGAUUAGCUAGUUGGUGGGGUAAAGGCCCACCAAGGCGACGAUCAGUAGCUGGUCUGAGAGGACGACCAGCCACACUGGAACUGAGACACGGUCCAGACUCCUACGGGAGGCAGCAGUGGGGAAUUUUGGACAAUGGGCGCAAGCCUGAUCCAGCCAUUCCGCGUGAGUGAAGAAGGCCUUCGGGUUGUAAAGCUCUUUCGCAAGGGAAGAAAGAUUACGCUCUAACAUAGCGUGAUUAUGACGGUACCUUGAUAAGAAGCACCGGCUAACUACGUGCCAGCAGCCGCGGUAAUACGUAGGGUGCGAGCGUUAAUCGGAAUUACUGGGCGUAAAGCGUGCGCA
This 570-nucleotide ribosomal RNA is filed under the name uncultured bacterium. RNAcentral describes it as "bacterial SSU rRNA". It matches the Rfam family "Bacterial small subunit ribosomal RNA", at positions 10 to 573 of the family's 1533-position model. The record is from RNAcentral.